UCCGGUUUAUCACCGGCAGUCCCCUAUGAGUCCCCGGCCGAACCGCUGGCAACAUAGGGCAAGGGUUGCGCUCGUUGCGGGACUUAACCCAACAUCUCACGACACGAGCUGACGACAGCCAUGCAGCACCUGUACAAGCGUCCCGAAGGAGGCUCCCUGUUUCCAGGGAGUUUCACUUGUAUGUCAAGCCCAGGUAAGGUUCUUCGCGUUGCUUCGAAUUAAACCACAAGCUCCACCGCUUGUGCGGGCCCCCGUCAAUUCCUUUGAGUUUCAACCUUGCGGUCGUACUCCCCAGGCGGGGUACUUCCUGCGUUAGCUUCGGCACGGAUGGGGUUGAUAUCCACCCACACCUAGCACCCAACGUUUACGGCUAGGACUAC
This 380-nucleotide unclassified non-coding RNA is filed under the name uncultured Gemmatimonadota bacterium. RNAcentral's name for it is "uncultured Gemmatimonadetes bacterium contains 16S-23S intergenic spacer region". The record is from RNAcentral. Lineage: Bacteria; Pseudomonadati; Gemmatimonadota.